Molecule: transfer RNA, 73 nt
Filed under: Pleurosicya micheli (Michel's ghost goby)
Lineage: Eukaryota; Metazoa; Chordata; Actinopteri; Gobiiformes; Gobiidae
Description: tRNA-Val
Rfam family: tRNA
About the family: Transfer RNA (tRNA) molecules are approximately 80 nucleotides in length. Their secondary structure includes four short double-helical elements and three loops (D, anti-codon, and T loops). Further hydrogen bonds mediate the characteristic L-shaped molecular structure. tRNAs have two regions of fundamental functional importance: the anti-codon, which is responsible for specific mRNA codon recognition, and the 3' end, to which the tRNAs corresponding amino acid is attached (by aminoacyl-tRNA synthetases). tRNAs cope with the degeneracy of the genetic code in two manners: having more than one tRNA (with a specific anti-codon) for a particular amino acid; and 'wobble' base-pairing, i.e. permitting non-standard base-pairing at the 3rd anti-codon position.
Source: RNAcentral
CCUGGCGUAGCUUAAUUUAGCAUAGCAUCUCUCUUACACUGAGAAGGUACCUGUGCAACCCAGGUCGCCAUGA